ACUCUGAAAAUAUAACGCUGUGUGCAAACAAAUUCUCGUGCGUCUACGAAUAAUACAUAGAAAAAAUAGUCAUCUUCCCAAAUAUUUGUUUCCAAAUUGUUGCGUAAUGUUACCUGUUCGAAACCAUGUUCUAAAUGCGUAAUCCGGGUCAAAGGUGGCGGUGAGUGUUAGGGGUUGCUCCAGCAGAUAGCGAUCGAUGAGUCGCCCACCACCCUGCAGAUGGCGCACAAAGCGCAAUUUUUACGAAAAUGUAAUUUGGGUAUAUGGUAAUGACAGUUAUAUUGGAGCGUAUUACGGUGUGUUGGAUGAGGAAUAAACUGGAUUUGCUACUGCAUUUUAGUAUACUCGUUAUUAAUAUAUUUGAUAAAGAUAAAUAAAUAUUAAUGUUGCAUAAAUUAUAGAUGCUUUGGGAAGGUAUCACACAGGCACGUGAAUUAUGGAGUGCUGAUAAAUUUAUAUGGAAUCGAUGAAAUAUAGUAUGGGCGUUUUUAUUUUUAUCCAUAUGAUAAUUUGUGUGACAUUUUUACAACUACAUUUGAUAGCCAACUGUAAAGAUGUAAAAAAUGCCUUUAAAAACUUAUGGCGCAAAUGAUCUAUUAGAUAUAGAGGUAUAAAUGUAAACUAAAUUUUUUUAAUAGUAAACAGUGAAUUUCAAAUUCAACAUUAGCAAGAAUUGUUUUUGUUUUUUAAUAAAACCGAUGUAAUGAAUUAUGAAAAAUGGUAUUUUCUGGUGAUUAUUACACCGAGGAAAUCCAUACCGUUAGCACCAUAAAAGAGACAUUAAGAAAAAAAUUGCUACAGUUUGCAAAAACCUGAUAAAUGGUGUUAUAGAAAUUUCAGGACACUAGGUUUUGCAGAAAAAUCUGGAUGUUUGGAGAGAAAGCAAGACGGAUUCAUAAACCACAAGUGUAUGAAGGACCAGGUUAUUUUUGAUGCGACGUCGUCCCAGUGUGGGUAGGGAUGAUUAGGCAAAUUUGGGUUAGCAUCUUGCCAUCUACACGAUGAAAUUUGCUGACAAUGGGUCCAGUAGUUUUGGAAAUUAUCUGUCUAAUAAUUAUCUGCAAAGACUGUAGAAGUGUAGACGACAGACGGAAACGGAAGACUCAUUUUUUAUAUUUUCAGGGUCAUGUUAAAAAAAUGAUUUGGAUUAUUUGGUUUCCUAAUUUAUCGCAGUGACAUGAUAUGCACCAAGUACAUUAAUUCAAAUCUACUUGAUGCAGAGAGCUAACCCAGAAAUGGCUUAUCUAAUUUUCUGAGAUUUUAGACAUUUGAUAAUCAUGUGUGAUUAGGUUAUCUGAAAAUCUUAUUAGGUAAAUCUCACUUCAAAGAUGUAUUAUAAACUCUUUAGUAAUGCAUAAGCGUUUAUAUAAAAAUUUCCAACUUUACAAUUUAUCCCAGAGGAGACAAAAUACCUAACUUCCGUGAAACUUUAUUACGAUACAAAAAUUAAUUUAAAGAAUUUCGAAAUAAAUAAAUAAAUAAUUUGCAGUCAACAAAAAAAUAUGUUUUACACACGUCAAAUAAGUAGGUAAAUAUAAUAAAAAAAUUGCCCCGAAUAACAGAGAUUUAAGAUAUAUAAUGCAUGAUAAUUCACAGAAAAACAUCUAAUAAAAAUUUAUCAUGCUUAGUGCAUAAAUUGUGAACAUGGAGUUUAAAAACCGCCCAAAAAAUUGGUUUAAAGUUAUUUAGAAAAAUUUCCUUAGCCCCUGAUGCACAGGAGUUUUAGAAAAAUUAUAAAACUAAAUUUUGCGUAUUUUAUUUUUUUAUGAUAACGUCAUCAAUUUUUUGGAAUGGCAUAACCUGGAUAAAUUUUGAUUAACGAUUUACUACGCUUACGACAACGUUAAAACAUUUGCAAGAUUUCAGCAGAACAUUCGGUUUUGCAGUUUUAAGGUUAAAUUGCAAAAUGUUAUUACAGAAUUUAGAUUUUUUUUCCAAAAAUCUCGAUAUCUAAGAUAAAAACUCAAUACGGAUUCGUAAAUGACAAGCGCAGGAGCAUCUUA
Long non-coding RNA from Zophobas morio, 2003 nucleotides. RefSeq lists it as uncharacterized. The transcript is spliced from 3 exons. The record is from RefSeq and is a predicted model, not a curated record. Lineage: Eukaryota; Metazoa; Arthropoda; Insecta; Coleoptera; Tenebrionidae.